Molecule: ribosomal RNA, 550 nt
Filed under: Aureobasidium leucospermi
Lineage: Eukaryota; Fungi; Ascomycota; Dothideomycetes; Dothideales; Saccotheciaceae
Description: partial large subunit ribosomal RNA
Rfam family: Eukaryotic large subunit ribosomal RNA
Source: RNAcentral
UGAUUAAGGCCCUAGGUAACGGCGAGUGGGGCGGCAACAGCUCAAAUUUGAAAGCUAGCCUUCGGGUUCGCAUUGUAAUUUGUAGAGGAUGCUUUGGGUAAAACGCCAGUCUAAGUUCCUUGGAACAGGACGUCAUAGAGGGUGAGAAUCCCGUAUGUGACUGGAAAUGUUAACCUAUGUAAAGCUCCUUCGACGAGUCGAGUUGUUUGGGAAUGCAGCUCUAAAUGGGAGGUAAAUUUCUUCUAAAGCUAAAUAUUGGCGAGAGACCGAUAGCGCACAAGUAGAGUGAUCGAAAGAUGAAAAGCACUUUGGAAAGAGAGUUAAAAAGCACGUGAAAUUGUUGAAAGGGAAGCGCUUGCAAUCAGACUUGUUUAAACUGUUCGGCCGGUCUUCUGACCGGUUUACUCAGUUUGGACAGGCCAGCAUCAGUUUCGGCGGCCGGAUAAAGGCAUUGGGAAUGUGGCCUUCACUUCGGUGGAGGUGUUAUAGCCCAGUGUGUAAUACGGCCAGCCGGGACUGAGGUCCGCGCUUCGGCUAGGAUGUUGGCGUA